GGCUGGUCCGAACAUACUGAGUUACCUCAAAUGACUAUUCAAGAACAUUAACAGACAGAAUUUCUUGUGAUACUCUUUCCUCCCUUCUCACUGCUGUACUUGACUAGUCUUAA
This is an unclassified non-coding RNA of Gorilla gorilla gorilla (western lowland gorilla), 113 nucleotides long. It matches the Rfam family "Y RNA". From Rfam's summary of the family: Y RNAs are components of the Ro ribonucleoprotein particle (Ro RNP), in association with Ro60 and La proteins. The Y RNAs and Ro60 and La proteins are well conserved, but the function of the Ro RNP is not known. The record is from Ensembl. NCBI's taxonomy places the organism in Eukaryota, Metazoa, Chordata, Mammalia, Primates, Hominidae.